CGCGAAUAGCUCAUUACAACAGCUAUAAUUUACUUGAAUUUGACAACCCUACUUGGAUACCGGUGGUAAUUCUAGCGCUAAUACAUGCACCAAAGCUCCGACCGCGAGGGAAGAGCGCAUUUAUUAGAACAAAACCACACGGCUUCGGCCGUCCAAUGUUGACUCAGAAUAACUAAGCUGAUCGCAUGGUCUUGCACCGGCGACGUUUCUUUCAAGUAUCUGCCUUAUCAACUUUCGAUGGUAGUGUAUCUGACUACCAUGGUGAUGACGGGUAACGGAGGAUAAGGGUUCGACUCCGGAGAAGGGGCCUGAGAAAUGGCCACUACGUCUAAGGAUGGCAGCAGGCGCGCAAAUUGCCCACUCUCAGUACGAGGAGGUAGUGACGAGAAAUAACAAGACCGUUCUCACAAGAGGCCGGUCAUUGGAAUGGGUACAAUUUAAACCCUUUAACGAGUAUCUAUGAGAGAGCAAGUCUGGUGCCAGCAGCCGCGGUAAUUCCAGCU
Molecule: ribosomal RNA, 503 nt
Filed under: Tylenchorhynchus teeni
Lineage: Eukaryota; Metazoa; Nematoda; Chromadorea; Rhabditida; Telotylenchidae
Description: SSU rRNA
Rfam family: Eukaryotic small subunit ribosomal RNA
Source: RNAcentral